AAAAAAAAAAACUGCAAAAAAAAAAAAAAAAGAAGAAGUGAUUCCACCUUUCCUAUUAGAUCUAAUCCUGUACCCUUCAGGGUAACAGUAACUCUGAGGAUGGGUGCUACCCAAGCUGGUGAAGUUGAAAGCCUGUUUCCUAUGUAGGACCACAAAUAGUACAGCAGCUUGUCACUGGAACAAAAGCUCCACCCAGGGAUCGAACUCAGGACCUUGUGCUUGUGAGGCAGGCGGCGGCACCACUGAGCUAAAUCCCUGGCUGGUGUGCUUUACUUUCUUCAUCUACAACUGAAAAUUCUGUUUUCUGCCUUCUAAAGCUGUCAUGAAGACAAAAGGAGUUGACCCAAGAGGAUGCUUAGAACCAUGCCUGGCACACACAGUGUCCUUGUAAAUGCUCCAGAUAGGUGCCUCAUUCAGCAGAUGGCCCUGACCACCCAGGCCACACCCCUCCAGCAUGGCUUUUCUAAAUGUCAGAGGCAGCACUGGCAAGAAACAGCUGAUGGUGACCAGUGCCAGAGGUGAGGAAUGAGAGGUACCAGGAGAACCCCACCUUGGCAGAGCAAAGCUGGGAGGUGAACCCAGCCCAUAAGGUUCCAGACCCCACGCCAACCUGCAAAGAAAGAAGAGUGCUGUACGGUUAUGGCCAGGCCCU
Fukomys damarensis (Damara mole-rat) is the source of this 652-nucleotide long non-coding RNA. RefSeq lists it as uncharacterized. Lineage: Eukaryota; Metazoa; Chordata; Mammalia; Rodentia; Bathyergidae. The transcript is spliced from 3 exons. The record is from RefSeq and is a predicted model, not a curated record.